This 77-nucleotide transfer RNA is filed under the name Bacillota bacterium. RNAcentral describes it as "Firmicutes bacterium (anaerobic digester metagenome) tRNA-Val". It matches the Rfam family "tRNA". From Rfam's summary of the family: Transfer RNA (tRNA) molecules are approximately 80 nucleotides in length. Lineage: Bacteria; Bacillati; Bacillota. The record is from RNAcentral.
GGUCGCUUAGCUCAGUUGGUUAGAGCGCUACGCUCACAUCGUAGAGGUCGCUGGUUCGAGUCCAGCAGCGACCACCA